RNAcentral lists this ribosomal RNA (253 nucleotides) under uncultured microorganism. RNAcentral describes it as "partial 16S ribosomal RNA". It matches the Rfam family "Bacterial small subunit ribosomal RNA", at positions 524 to 776 of the family's 1533-position model. The record is from RNAcentral.
UACGUAGGGUGCGAGCGUUAAUCGGAUUUACUGGGCGUAAAGCGUGCGCAGGCGGCCCGUUAAGACAGGUGUGAAAUCCCUGGGCUCAACCUAGGAAUGGCAUUUUGAACUGGCAGGCUCGAGUACGGUAGAGGGGGGUGGAAUUCCUGGUGUAGCAGUGAAAUGCGUAGAGAUCAGGAGGAACACCGAUGGCGAAGGCAGCCCCCUGGGCCUGUACUGACGCUCAUGCACGAAAGCGUGGGGAGCAAACAGG